AGGUUCCGUAGGUGAACCUGCGGAAGGAUCAUUGAAUCGAUCGAAUCCACACCGGUAACCACACUGUCGCCCUGGGGGGUGCGCGGUGCACACUUGCUGUGCACUGGCGGCUCCCAGCGUCGGCCCCUGGGCUGGGGCUCUCACGAGCCGCUUCUCAGGUCCGGCGGGCGUCUCCCUUGGGCUCACCCCCUGGGGCUGGCGUCGGCCAAAACCCCUGUAUCCAACCCCUUUUUUCACAAAAAGGGCAACACACCCCAAACCACAACCUCCUCUGAAGCAUCUUUGGUGGCCCGGCCUCGUGCCGUCCACUCCAAACCAAAGACAACUCUCAACAACGGAUAUCUUGGCUCCCGUAUCGAUGAAGAACGCAGCGAAAUGCGAUACGUAGUGUGAAUUGCAGAAUUCCGUGAACCAUCGAAUCUUUGAACGCAAAUUGCGCCCGAGGCUUCGGCCGAGGGCAUGUCUGCCUCAGCGUCGGUUUACACCCUCGCCCUCCCUCCCCGCCUGGGGUGGGUGGUGCGGAUCUGGCCCUCCCGGCUCCGUCCCUGCUUGCAGGGGCGCCCGGGUUGGCUGAAGCACAGAGGCUUGAGCAUGGACCCCGUUUGUAGGGCAAUGGCUUGGUAGGUAGGCACCCCCUACGCAGCCUGUCGUUGCCCGAGGGGACUUUGCUGGAGGCCCCGCAGGAAUCCGGCUGGCCGUGAGGCCCGCCGGACACUCACUCAUUCGACCUGAGCUCAGGCAAGAUUACCCGCUGAACUUAAGCAUAU
Molecule: ribosomal RNA, 767 nt
Filed under: Chlorella sp. Iso4
Lineage: Eukaryota; Viridiplantae; Chlorophyta; Trebouxiophyceae; Chlorellales; Chlorellaceae
Description: eukaryotic LSU rRNA
Rfam family: 5.8S ribosomal RNA (bases 324-477)
Source: RNAcentral